UACGUAGGCAGCAAGCGUUGUUCGGAAUUACUGGGCGUAAAGCGUGCGUAGGCGGUUGGCCAAGUUUGGUGUGAAAUCUCCCGGCUCAACUGGGAGGGUGCGCCGAAAACUGGCCGGCUAGAGUGCGGGAGAGGGAAGUGGAAUUCCUGGUGUAGCGGUGAAAUGCGUAGAUAUCAGGAGGAACACCUGUGGUGUAGACGGCUUCCUGGACCGUGACUGACGCUGAGGCACGAAAGCGUGGGGAGCAAACAGG
Molecule: ribosomal RNA, 253 nt
Filed under: uncultured bacterium
Lineage: Bacteria
Description: partial 16S ribosomal RNA
Rfam family: Bacterial small subunit ribosomal RNA
Source: RNAcentral